UGGGGAAUAUUCCGCAAUGGACGAAAGUCUGACGGAGCAACGCCGCGUGAGUGAUGAAGGUUUUCGGACUGUAAAGCUCUGUUGAUUAGGACGAAAGUGCCUGUUGCGAACAGUUACAGGUAUUGACGGUACUAAACGAGGAAGCCACGGCUAACUACGUGCCAGCAGCCGCGGUAAUACGUAGGUGGCAAGCGUUGUCCGGAAUUAUUGGGCGUAAAGAGCAUGUAGGCGGAGAUUUAAGUCUGUUGUGAAAAUGCGGGGCUCAACCCCGUAUUGCGAUGGAAACUGAAUAUCUUGAGUGCAGGAGAGGAAAGGGGAAUUCCCAGUGUAGCGGUGAAAUGCGUAGAUAUUGGGAGGAACACCAGUGGCGAAGGCGCCUUUCUGGACUGUGUCUGACGCUGAGAUGCGAAAGCCAGGGUAGCGAACG
This 427-nucleotide ribosomal RNA is filed under the name uncultured bacterium. Its description in RNAcentral is "bacterial SSU rRNA". It matches the Rfam family "Bacterial small subunit ribosomal RNA", at positions 355 to 774 of the family's 1533-position model. The record is from RNAcentral.